This 193-nucleotide long non-coding RNA is filed under the name Capra hircus (goat). Its description in RNAcentral is "lncRNA (ENSCHIG00000000769.1)". Lineage: Eukaryota; Metazoa; Chordata; Mammalia; Artiodactyla; Bovidae. The record is from RNAcentral.
GUCGUUAACCUUCAAGUACCCAUGGAAUGCCUAACCGAGACACUAUUCUGGUGAGAAGCUGGGGAACUGUGCAGCAUAAGGAAUUAAGCCUCGCCUGUAGAAUGGUUAUGUUCAAGGUGGCAAUAUGGUGUUUUGGGGAGCAGUAACGGCUUUGCUGUUAGAAAUGACCACCUGUGGGAAGAGUCACUUUGUG